AGUGAACGCUGGCGGUAGGCCUAACACAUGCAAGUCGAACGGCAGCACAGUAAGAGCUUGCUCUUACGGGUGGCGAGUGGCGGACGGGUGAGGAAUACAUCGGAAUCUACUUUUUCGUGGGGGAUAACGUAGGGAAACUUACGCUAAUACCGCAUACGACCUACGGGUGAAAUCAGGGGAUCUUCGGACCUUUCGCGAUUGAAUGAGCCGAUGUCGGAUUAGCUAGUUGGCGGGGUAAAGGCCCACCAAGGCGACGAUCCGUAGCUGGUCUGAGAGGAUGAUCAGCCACACUGGAACUGAGACACGGUCCAGACUCCUACGGGAGGCAGCAGUGGGGAAUAUUGGACAAUGGGCGAAAGCCUGAUCCAGCCAUACCGCGUGGGUGAAGAAGGCCUUCGGGUUGUAAAGCCCUUUUGUUGGGAAAGAAAAGCAGCAGGUUAAUACACCGCUGUUUUGACGGUACCCAAAGAAUAAGCACCGGCUAACUUCGUG
RNAcentral lists this ribosomal RNA (492 nucleotides) under uncultured bacterium. RNAcentral's name for it is "partial 16S ribosomal RNA". It matches the Rfam family "Bacterial small subunit ribosomal RNA", at positions 29 to 507 of the family's 1533-position model. The record is from RNAcentral.